UAUAUAUAUAUGGAAUCCACACCUACCUAUCUAACAAUCCUCCAAUACACACUUCUUUCUUUUAGCUGAUAAAAUAUUCUGCAACUAAAUAAUCAACCAUGGCAAUUAGCCUAAUCCUGUUCUUGAUAACCCAUCUUUUUGUACACUCAGAAUCCAUUAGUAGAGCUGAUUUCCCCAGUGGGUUCACCUUUGGAACUGCUUCUUCAGCUUACCAGUUUGAAGGAGCUGUAAAUGAAGGAAAUAAAGGAGCUAGCAUAUGGGACACCUUCACAAGGCAACCAGGAAGAAUAUUGGAUUUCAGCAAUGCAGAUACAGCUGUUGAUCAAUAUCACCGGUUUAAGGGAGAUAUUGAUUUGAUGAAGGAUUUGGGGAUGGAUGCCUACAGAUUUUCAAUAUCUUGGCCAAGAAUUUUUCCAAGUAAGUUACAAUCAGUCAGGUCAGAUCCUGAAAAUUUUGCUUGCCAUUCUUGUGGGUCAUCAUCAACUUGUAGCAAACUGUUUUGGAAUUUAUUUUAACAGACGGAACAGGGGAACCUAACCCGGAAGGAAUAGAUUAUUACAACAGCCUCAUAGAUGCUUUACUGGAAAAAGGUUGCUUGGCCUAGCAUAAUUUUGAAUUAAUUUUUUUUAAUAUUAAAAUAGACAUAGUAUUAAUUGUAGCUGUAGCUGUUCUUUCAAUCAGGAAUCCAGCCUUAUGUAACUCUGUACCAUUGGGAUCUUCCACAGAUGCUUGAAGAUAAAUAUGGAGGAUGGUUAAGCAAACGAAUAGUGUAAGUAUAAAAGAAUUGUAGGUGACAUUUUUUCUAGAAAAAUAUAUAGUCAAGGCCUUCGAAAAAGCAGAGAGCAGCCUGCAUACAUGAUAGGCGACUCUUUCUUGUCUCUUGCAAAAUGAGUAAUCUCAUGCACUGGGGAUGCCCUUUUAUAUGCUUUAGAAAUGAAUUGAUUUGCUUACAGAAAGGACUUUGAGCAUUAUGCCUUCACCUGCUUCCAUGCCUUUGGAGAUAGAGUGAAACACUGGAUCACCUUCAACGAACCUCAUGGUUUCUCCAUCCAAGGUUACGACACCGGUAUUCAAGCUCCCGGCAGGUGUUCUAUUCUCAGUCAUCUGCUUUGCAAGAUGGGAAAUUCAUCAGUUGAACCGUAUAUUGUAGCUCACAACAUCCUCUUGUCACAUGCUGCUUCAUAUCGAUGUUAUCAGUCAAAUUUCAAGGCAAAACAAGGUGGCCAAAUUGGUAUAGCAUUAGAUUCCAAGUGGUACGAACCAAUAUCCGAUGCCGAUGAGGACAAAGAUGCAGCGCAAAGAGCAAUGGAUUUUGCAAUUGGAUGGUAAAUAUGUCAGGUUCAUAACGUUUCAGAAGGAAUCAAAUUCCAUUGUUUGAAACAUGAUCUAUUUGAGUUUUAAACAUGAUCUAUUUGACACACUAAAAAACCAAAUCAGGUUCCUUAAUCCACUUUUCUUUGGCAAAUAUCCUCUUUCAAUGAAAAAGCUUGUGGGUGAAAGAUUACCUGAGAUCACUCCAGAGAUGUCCAAAGUCUUAGCGGGGUCCCUGGAUUUUGUGGGCAUUAAUCAUUACACAACUCUGUAUGUUAGAAAUGACAGGACUCGGAUUCGGAAACUAAUAUUGCAGGAUGCCUCAUCUGAUGCUGCUGUAAUUACUACUGGUAAGAUGCUGAACACAAUUAAUACUUAAACAUCUGAAGGGCAAUAACGUGUGCAAUAAAACAAUUGCCUGAUGAACUUUGUAUCUGUCCUCUCAAUUGUAGCUUAUCGACAUGGAAUCGCUAUUGGAGAACGAGUAUGUCCCAACAAUUUACAGGGCCCUAGGUAGGAUUUUGUUAUAUAUUUCAAAUAAAAGUCAGCUCACAAUUACUUCCUCCUCCAGGCAGCUUCCCGCUGGCUACACAUUGUUCCCUGGGGCAUUCGUAAAUUGGUGAACUAUGUGAAAGAUAAGUAUAAGAACCCACAAGUGAUUAUAACGGAGAAUGGUAAGCAGUUCUUCAGAACCCUAAAACCAAAAAGCUGAAGUUUUGAAUUAUUACGUAGCUUAAUUUCAGAAUUGCAGGAAUGGACGAUGCAAACAAACCAUUUAUGUCAUUAAACAAGGCCUUACAGGAUGAUAAGAGGAUAGAAUACCACAGGGACUAUCUCUCAAACCUGUCUGCAGCUAUAAGGGAAGACAAGUGCGACAUUCGGGGCUAUUUCGUGUGGUCUGUGCUUGACAACUGGGAAUGGAACUCAGGCUACACCGUACGAUUUGGACUCUACUUUGUGGAUUACAAAAACAAUCUUACGAGAAUACCAAAAGCUUCUACUCAAUGGUUCAAAAGUAUUCUCAGAUUAAACAGUGAUAUGAAGAGUCAGCUUUGAAGUUUAUAUGUUACAAAAACAUAGGCCAUGCACAUAAUUUACCAUGCAAUUGAUAUUGGAAAAAAAUUUGUUAACAUUCAUAGAAAAUCAUAUAAGAAAUAAAACAUGGAAGAAAUAAAAGGCACACCAUGAAUUAGUGAAACCUUAUAUUGCCCUGUUGUUUCUGUUCUGGCAGCUGUUCAGUUUGUCUUUCAAAUAUCACAACUAAGAGGUGAGUUGAUAUUUCUUUAUCCACAAAAUAUUAACAAAAAUAUUGUGCAGAUUGAUUCAUUUCUGACCUUGCACAUAGGUAAGAUCACCUUGGGAGAUCACUAUUCAUUCCAUUUGUAAUAUUAUUAAAAAAUUUUGCAGCAUCACUUGGGCUGUAGAAAGUUAUGAAAUAAAAUGGACUAAUAUCAUACCCCAAAAAUUUAUUAAUUCUUAGUUUGCUUUCAUGUUUGGACAGUGCUCCAUUUAACUGGGAUUAACAAUGUAGUCAAUGGAUGCUUCAUAAUUUCAUUAAACUAGGUAUGUAAGAAGAUAAAAUGGUAAAACAUAAAGCCCCAAUUCGACACCAGCAUUUAAGUGCAAGCACAAGCCAUCGAACCCCAUAGCCACCGCAAUCACAAUAGAUAAUAACAAAUAAAGCGACAAGAACACUCACUGGAUGAUUAGCGAGCAUCAAAUUGAAAAAACUCGCUCCUCUCUAGUUUCUAUAGAGAGAGAGAGAGAGAGA
RNAcentral lists this unclassified non-coding RNA (3082 nucleotides) under Hevea brasiliensis (rubber tree). Lineage: Eukaryota; Viridiplantae; Streptophyta; Magnoliopsida; Malpighiales; Euphorbiaceae. The record is from RNAcentral.